This is an RNA transcript of Solanum tuberosum (potato), 702 nucleotides long. RefSeq lists it as uncharacterized. The transcript has 4 exons. The record is from RefSeq and is a predicted model, not a curated record. NCBI's taxonomy places the organism in Eukaryota, Viridiplantae, Streptophyta, Magnoliopsida, Solanales, Solanaceae.
UACAUUUUAUAGUCCCUUCUCGAUAGAAGGAGGUCCCUGCUCAUUCUCAAACCGUGUGCUUGGAAAACGAUCUAUUUCGGAAGAGUUAAAUGCAAGCUGUUGUUAUUGAAGAUAACUGAAGAGGGAAUCCAAAUGGAUCAAAAUGUACAUGAGGAUUAAUGUGGCUAAAACCCAACCUAGAUAAGAGCCUCGCAUCAAGGAUAACAUGGCAGCAGAAAAUGUCCAAAAUGAGAAGGCACCAUCCCCUGUUACUCCAAAUCCAGCUAUGACUUCAUGUCGGAAGAAGAAGAGCGAACAAGCAAAUUUUCUAGAAGAUAUCAAGGAUCACAUGGAUGAAUUCAUUCAUGCUUCCAUGGAUGAACACAAAACUUGCUUCAAGAAGACCAUUCAAAAGAUGUUUGGCAUGUCAAAAAUUGUUGCGGAAAGGAAUGCUGAGGCUAAAGAGGUUGAAAGUUCUCUUCCCCUGCAAACAACAUUGGCUAAGUAGGAUUUUUGGCACAUCUUGAUUUGAUGGCUAGUAUCAAUAGAGUAGAAAAGAAUGACAUCUGACUUUUCACUAUGCUGUCUAUGUUCUAUUGAUCUAUGGAAUGCUCUUGAUUUGUAGCUUCCACUCUCUUAUUUCCACUGUCUGUAUUAGUAUCUCAAUUGUUGUGUAGAACUUGGAUUCGUUGAUUUCAUUGAAGUGAAUAGAUUCACUGGUUU